This is a long non-coding RNA of Tribolium madens (black flour beetle), 230 nucleotides long. RefSeq lists it as uncharacterized. The transcript has 2 exons. The record is from RefSeq and is a predicted model, not a curated record. NCBI's taxonomy places the organism in Eukaryota, Metazoa, Arthropoda, Insecta, Coleoptera, Tenebrionidae.
UUUUCAUUCACUAUUUCAAUAAUAUAUUCCAGAGCUACCGUUUCCGUCUCGAAUUAUUUAAAUUCUCGAUUAUCGUCCCGAUACGAACCCCGUACUUUUUCUUCAAGUACCGACCAUCCCUCGCUGAGGGACGCAAGUAAGGGGGAAAUUUUCCUGUCUUUACGAAGGCCAAAGAGAGACCUAUCGCUCCGCAUUUUGUACCUGUCGUCUCCGCCGCCUCCUCCUAUCAG